RNAcentral lists this ribosomal RNA (435 nucleotides) under uncultured bacterium. Its description in RNAcentral is "partial 16S ribosomal RNA". It matches the Rfam family "Bacterial small subunit ribosomal RNA", at positions 28 to 507 of the family's 1533-position model. The record is from RNAcentral.
GAUGAACGCUGGCGGUAUGCUUAACACAUGCAAGUCGAACGGACUCUUCGGAGUUAGUGGCGGACGGGUGAGUAACGCGUGAGAAUCUGGCUUUGGGUUCGGGACAACUACUGGAAACGGUGGCUAAUACCGGACGUGCCGAGAGGUAAAAGAGCAAUUUCCUGAAGAUGAGCUCGCGUCUGAUUAGCUAGUUGGUGAGGUAAAGGCUCACCAAGGCAGCGAUCAGUAGCUGAUCUGAGCGGAUGACCGGCCACACCGGGACUGAGAGGCGGCCCAGACUACUACGCGAGGAAGGGGUGAGGAAUUUUCGGCAAUGGGCGAAAGCCUGACGAAGCACUACCGCGUGAGAAAAGAAGGCUCUUGGGUUGUAAACAUGUUUUCGUAAGGAAGAACAACAUGACGGUACCUAAGGAAUAAGCAUCGGCUAACUCCGUG